AUUGAACGCUGGCGGCAUGCUUUACACAUGCAAGUCGAACGGUAACAGGCCGCAAGGUGCUGACGAGUGGCGAACGGGUGAGUAAUGCAUCGGAACGUGCCCAGUCGUGGGGGAUAACUACUCGAAAGAGUAGCUAAUACCGCAUACGAUCUAUGGAUGAAAGCGGGGGACCGUAAGGCCUCGCGCGAUUGGAGCGGCCGAUGUCAGAUUAGGUAGUUGGUGGGGUAAAGGCUCACCAAGCCAACGGUCUGUAGCUGGUCUGAGAGGACGACCAGCCACACUGGGACUGAGACACGGCCCAGACUCCUACGGGAGGCAGCAGUGGGGAAUUUUGGACAAUGGGCGCAAGCCUGAUCCAGCAAUGCCGCGUGCAGGAAGAAGGCCUUCGGGUUGUAAACUGCUUUUGUACGGAACGAAACGGCUCUGGUUAAUACCCGGGGCUAAUGACGGUACCGUAAGAAUAAGCACCGGCUAACUACGUG
This 482-nucleotide ribosomal RNA is filed under the name uncultured bacterium. RNAcentral's name for it is "partial 16S ribosomal RNA". It matches the Rfam family "Bacterial small subunit ribosomal RNA", at positions 30 to 507 of the family's 1533-position model. The record is from RNAcentral.